RNAcentral lists this ribosomal RNA (242 nucleotides) under uncultured bacterium. RNAcentral's name for it is "partial 16S ribosomal RNA". It matches the Rfam family "Bacterial small subunit ribosomal RNA", at positions 97 to 334 of the family's 1533-position model. The record is from RNAcentral.
UGCGAACGGGUGAGUAACGCGUAGGUAACCUGCCUGGUAGCGGGGGAUAACUAUUGGAAACGAUAGCUAAUACCGCAUAACAGUAGAUAUUGCAUGAUAUCUGCUUGAAAGGGGCAAUUGCUCCACUACCAGAUGGACCUGCGUUGUAUUAGCUAGUUGGUGAGGUAACGGCUCACCAAGGCGACGAUACAUAGCCGACCUGAGAGGGUGAUCGGCCACACUGGGACUGAGACACGGCCCAG